This 468-nucleotide ribosomal RNA is filed under the name uncultured bacterium. Its description in RNAcentral is "partial 16S ribosomal RNA". It matches the Rfam family "Bacterial small subunit ribosomal RNA", at positions 28 to 507 of the family's 1533-position model. The record is from RNAcentral.
GACGAACGCUGGCGGCGUGCUUAACACAUGCAAGUCGAGCGGAAAGGCCCUGCUUUUGUGGGGUGCUCGAGUGGCGAACGGGUGAGUAACACGUGAGUAACCUGCCCUUGACUUUGGGAUAACUUCAGGAAACUGGGGCUAAUACCGGAUAGGAGCUCCUGCUGCAUGGUGGGGGUUGGAAAGUUUCGGCGGUUGGGGAUGGACUGGCGGCUUAUCAGCUUGUUGGUGGGGUAGUGGCUUACCAAGGCUUUGACGGGUAGCCGGCCUGAGAGGGUGACCGGCGACAUUGGGACUGAGAUACGGACCAGACUGCUACGGGAGGCAGCAGUGGGGAAUAUUGCACAAUGGGCGGAAGCCUGAUGCAGCAACGCCGCGUGCGGGAUGACGGCCUUCGGGUUGUAAACCGCUUUCGCCUGUGACGAAGCGUGAGUGACGGUAAUGGGUAAAGAAGCACCGGCUAACUACGUG